RNAcentral lists this ribosomal RNA (377 nucleotides) under uncultured bacterium. Its description in RNAcentral is "bacterial SSU rRNA". It matches the Rfam family "Bacterial small subunit ribosomal RNA", at positions 85 to 496 of the family's 1533-position model. The record is from RNAcentral.
GCAAUACUUAGUGGCAGACGGGUGAGUAACAUGUGGGUAUCUUCCCUUUGGUGAGGAAUAACACGAGGAAACUUGUGCUAAUACCUCAUAAGUCUUUACGGAGAAAGCUUUAUGCGCCAAUGGAUGAGCCCGCACUUGAUUAGUUUGUUGGUGGGGUAAUGGCCUACCAAGACUUUGAUCAAUAGCUGAUCUGAGAGGAUGAUCAGCCACAUUGGGACUGAGACACGGCCCAAACUCCUACGGGAGGCAGCAGUAGGGAAUAUUGCACAAUGGAGGAAACUCUGAUGCAGCGAUGCCGCGUGAGUGAAGAAGGCCUUUGGGUUGUAAAGCUCUUUCGUCGGGGAAGAAAAUGACGGUACCCGAAUAAGAAGGUCCGG